GACGAACGCUGGCGGCGUGCCUAAUACAUGCAAGUCGAACGAGAGCGACCGGUGCUUGCACUGGUCAAUCUAGUGGCGAACGGGUGAGUAACACGUGGGUAACCUGCCCAUCAGAGGGGGAUAACAUCCGGAAACGGAUGCUAAAACCGCAUAGGUCUUCGAACCGCAUGGUUUGAAGAGGAAAAGAGGCGCAAGCUUCUGCUGAUGGAUGGACCCGCGGUGCAUUAGCUAGUUGGUGAGGUAACGGCUCACCAAGGCCGUGAUGCAUAGCCGACCUGAGAGGGUGAUCGGCCACAUUGGGACUGAGACACGGCCCAAACUCCCACGGGAGGCAGCAGUAGGGAAUCUUCCGCAAUGGACGCAAGUCUGACGGAGCAACGCCGCGUGAGUGAAGAAGGUUUUCGGAUCGUAAAACUCUGUUGUUAGAGAAGAACAAGUGCUAGAGUAACUGUUAGCGCCUUGACGGUAUCUAACCAGAAAGCCACGGCUAACUACGUG
This 498-nucleotide ribosomal RNA is filed under the name uncultured bacterium. Its description in RNAcentral is "partial 16S ribosomal RNA". It matches the Rfam family "Bacterial small subunit ribosomal RNA", at positions 28 to 507 of the family's 1533-position model. The record is from RNAcentral.